RNAcentral lists this ribosomal RNA (252 nucleotides) under uncultured bacterium. RNAcentral describes it as "partial 16S ribosomal RNA". It matches the Rfam family "Bacterial small subunit ribosomal RNA", at positions 525 to 776 of the family's 1533-position model. The record is from RNAcentral.
ACAGAGGGUGCAAGCGAUAAUCGGAUUUACUGGGCGUAAAGCGCUCGGAGGCGGAUACGUAAGUCAGUGGUGAAAUCCCCGGGCUCAACCUGGGAGGUGCAUUGGAUACUGGGUAUCUGGAGUGCGGAAGAGGAGAGUGGAAUUCCUAGUGUAGCGGUGAAAUGCGUAGAGAUUAGGAAGAACACCAGUGGCGAAGGCGGCUCACUGGUCCGGUACUGACGCUGAGGUGCGAAAGAGUGGGGAGCAAACAGG